UACGGAGGUGGCUAACGUUGUUCGGAUUCAUUGGGUGUAAAGGGUGUGUAGGCGGUCUUGUAAGUCGAAUGUGAAAUCCUUUGGCUUAACCAAAGAACUGCAUUCGAAACUGCUUGGCUUGAGUUUGGGAGAGGUGAGCGGAAUUCCAGGUGUAAGAGUGAAAUCUGUAGAUAUCUGGAGGAACACCAGUUGCGCAAGCGACUCACUGGCCUAAAACUGACGCUGAAACACGAAAGCUAGGGGAG
RNAcentral lists this ribosomal RNA (245 nucleotides) under uncultured bacterium. Its description in RNAcentral is "partial 16S ribosomal RNA". It matches the Rfam family "Bacterial small subunit ribosomal RNA", at positions 524 to 768 of the family's 1533-position model. The record is from RNAcentral.